Nomascus leucogenys (northern white-cheeked gibbon) is the source of this 1146-nucleotide RNA transcript. It is a transcript of the gene named eukaryotic translation initiation factor 4H-like, with no coding region annotated. The transcript is spliced from 2 exons. NCBI's taxonomy places the organism in Eukaryota, Metazoa, Chordata, Mammalia, Primates, Hylobatidae. The record is from RefSeq and is a predicted model, not a curated record.
AUGUGGCUGCACAGUAAGAAGAGGAAUGAAGGGAGGGAAACUGCUCAAAGGCCCCCCUGCCAUGCUGCCCUGGAAGAGGAUCAAGAUGCACAUUCGCUUCUGACUCAAUAUAAUAAGAAAAAAAAAAGCAGAGGGUCCCACAGCAGUACUGGUGGCCAUGGUUCCCGUAGCCAGAAGGAGUUGCUCACAGAGCCCCCACACAGCAUAGGUAGGAAAUCUACCUUUUAAUGUGUUUCAGGGCGACAUAGAUGCUAUCUUUAAGCAUCUCAGCAUAAGGAGUGUACGGGUAGUCAGAGACAAAGACACAGAUAAAUUUAAAGGAUUCUGCUAUAUAGAAUUCGAUGAAGUGGAUUCCCUUAAGGAAGCUUGACAUACGAUGGUGCACUGUUGGGCGAUCAGUCACUUCAUGUGGACAUUGCAGAAGGCAGAAAACAAGAUAAAGGUGGCUUUGGAUUCAGAAAAGGUGUACCAGAUGACGAGGCUUCAGGGAUGACUUCUUAGGAGGCAGGGGAGGUAGUCACCCAGGUGACUGGCAAACAGGCCCCCCAGUGGGCAGUCACUUCAGAGAUGGUCCUCCCCUCCACGGAUCCAACAUGGAUUUCAAAGAACCGACAGAGGAGGGAAGAGCACAAAGACCACGACUCCAGCUUCAACCUCGAAUGUUGUGACGCCCCUCAAUCAAGUAGCCAAUCUCAACUCUGCUCUCUUCGGGGGUGCCAGACCCAGAGCAGAAUUCAUCACAAGGAGCAAGAAUGAGCCUGCGGUUGGGAGGGAAUGGGACGUGGGGGAUUGGAGCAGGACCACAGCCUGGUGAGCCCCUGGGCCGUGUUCCUGCAGCUUCCACUCCCGCACCUGCCACUGGCCUCCCUACAGUGGAAACACAGCUUGUUGAGUGCAUGCCAGCUGUUAACAAGUGGCUUUUAGUACAUUCUGGGCUUUGCUGUAUCUAUCUAGUGCCUGUUUGUGCGUUUUUUUUCUUUCUACCACUGCUUCCCCAUUUUCCUUCUGUUCUUUUCCUCCCAGCUCGUUUUCCUAGCAGCACAUGGGGUUCCCCAGAGGAUCGGAGGUGGCCAUGUCAGGGAGUCAUUUGGGCUGUGGUGCUGCAUCAUUUUUCUCCUUUGCUUUCUCUUUUUACUUUAGACAUUG